UGUAAAAGGUGGUGAGUUGGGGUCAAUUGGAAAGACACCUGGAGCACUUGGAGUGCCUGGAUAAAUGAUAGGUGUAGUGGGGGUGGUAGGAGUCGGGGAGUAACCACCCCCUGGAGUGCUUGGAGUUCCGGGGUCAAUGGUAGGAGUAGGUGGUGUUUCAAUGAUUGGAGUAGUUGGGGUAGUAGGUGUAGGGGAAGGAUAGUAACCACCACCCCCUGGAGUGCUUGGAGUACCAGGGUCAACGGUAGGCGUAGGUGGUGUUUCAAUGGUAGGUGUAGAGGGGGUGGUAGGUGUAGGUGUAGGCGAAGGAUAGUAGCCACCACCACCUGGAGUGCUUGGAGUUCCGGGGUCAGCGGUAGGAGUAGGUGGUGUUUCAAUAGUAGGUGCGGAGGGAGUGGAUGGUGUACUAGGGGUACUAGGUGUAGGAGUACUUGGAGUCGGGGAAGGAUAGUAGCCACUUCCACCCCCUGGAGUACUUGGAGUGCCAGGGUCUGGAGUUGGGGUUACAACAGGUGUAGAGGGGGUGGAUGGUGUACUAG
This 539-nucleotide long non-coding RNA is filed under the name Capsicum annuum. Its description in RNAcentral is "long non-coding RNA (CANN_LNC013734)". Lineage: Eukaryota; Viridiplantae; Streptophyta; Magnoliopsida; Solanales; Solanaceae. The record is from RNAcentral.